This 502-nucleotide ribosomal RNA is filed under the name uncultured bacterium. RNAcentral's name for it is "bacterial SSU rRNA". It matches the Rfam family "Bacterial small subunit ribosomal RNA", at positions 355 to 848 of the family's 1533-position model. The record is from RNAcentral.
UGGGGAAUUUUGGACAAUGGGGGCAACCCUGAUCCAGCCAUUCCGCGUGAGUGAAGAAGGCCUUCGGGUUGUAAAGCUCUUUCAGCUGGAACGAAACGGUACGCUCUAACAUAGCGUGCUAAUGACGGUACCAGCAGAAGAAGCACCGGCUAACUACGUGCCAGCAGCCGCGGUAAUACGUAGGGUGCGAGCGUUAAUCGGAAUUACUGGGCGUAAAGCGUGCGCAGGCGGAUUGUUAAGCAAGACGUGAAAUCCCCGGGCUUAACCUGGGAAUGGCGUUUUGAACUGGCAGUCUAGAGUGUGUCAGAGGGGGGUAGAAUUCCACGUGUAGCAGUGAAAUGCGUAGAGAUGUGGAGGAAUACCAAUGGCGAAGGCAGCCCCCUGGGAUAACACUGACGCUCAUGUACGAAAGCGUGGGUAGCAAACAGGAUUAGAUACCCUGGUAGUCCACGCCCUAAACGAUGUCAACUGGUUGUUGGGGGAGUGAAAUCCCUUAGUAACG